Molecule: ribosomal RNA, 305 nt
Filed under: uncultured bacterium
Lineage: Bacteria
Description: partial 16S ribosomal RNA
Rfam family: Bacterial small subunit ribosomal RNA
Source: RNAcentral
ACAGCAUCCACGGUAAUACAGAGGGUGCGAGCGUUAAUCGGAUUUACUGGGCGUAAAGCGUGCGUAGGCGGCUUUUUAAGUCGGAUGUGAAAUCCCUGAGCUUAACUUAGGAAUUGCAUUCGAUACUGGGAAGCUAGAGUAUGGGAGAGGAUGGUAGAAUUCCAGGUGUAGCGGUGAAAUGCGUAGAGAUCUGGAGGAAUACCGAUGGCGAAGGCAGCCAUCUGGCCUAAUACUGCCGCUGAGGUACGAAAGCAUGGGGAGCAAACAGGAUUAGAUACCCCGGUAGUCCCUGUCUCUUAUACACA